This 481-nucleotide ribosomal RNA is filed under the name uncultured bacterium. RNAcentral's name for it is "partial 16S ribosomal RNA". It matches the Rfam family "Bacterial small subunit ribosomal RNA", at positions 30 to 506 of the family's 1533-position model. The record is from RNAcentral.
AUUGAACGCUGGCGGCAUGCCUUACACAUGCAAGUCGAACGGUAACGGGCCUUCGGGUGCCGACGAGUGGCGCACGGGUGAGUAAUACAUCGGAACGUGCCCGAUCGUGGGGGAUAACGAGGCGAAAGCUUUGCUAAUACCGCAUACGAUCUACGGAUGAAAGCAGGGGACCGCAAGGCCUUGCGCGGACGGAGCGGCCGAUGGCAGAUUAGGUAGUUGGUGGGAUAAAAGCUUACCAAGCCGACGAUCUGUAGCUGGUCUGAGAGGAUGAUCAGCCACACUGGGACUGAGACACGGCCCAGACUCCUACGGGAGGCAGCGGUGGGGAAUUUUGGACAAUGGGCGCAAGCCUGAUCGAGCCAUGCCGCGUGCAGGAUGAAGGCCUUCGGGUUGUAAACUGCUUUUGUACGGAACGAAAAGCCUUCUUUUAAUACAGGAGGGUCAUGACGGUACCGUAAGAAUAAGCACCGGCUAACUACGU